GAUUGACCUCGGAUCAGGCAGGGAUACCCGCC
RNAcentral lists this ribosomal RNA (32 nucleotides) under Protoparmelia montagnei. RNAcentral's name for it is "partial large subunit ribosomal RNA". The record is from RNAcentral. Lineage: Eukaryota; Fungi; Ascomycota; Lecanoromycetes; Lecanorales; Parmeliaceae.